RNAcentral lists this ribosomal RNA (265 nucleotides) under uncultured archaeon. RNAcentral describes it as "partial 16S ribosomal RNA". It matches the Rfam family "Archaeal small subunit ribosomal RNA", at positions 717 to 982 of the family's 1478-position model. The record is from RNAcentral.
AGUCACUGACAUUAGAUACCCGUGUAGUCCAGGGUGUAAACGCUGCGGGCUUGGUGUUGGGGGUCCUUUGAGGGCGCCCAGUGCCGGAGAGAAGUUGUUAAGCCUACUGCUUGGGGAGUACGUCCGCAAGGAUGAAACUUAAAGGAAUUGGCGGGGGAGCACCGCAACGGGAGGAGCGUGCGGUUCAAUUGGAUUCAACGCCGGACAACUCACCAGGAGCGACGGUUACAUGAAGGCCAGGCUGAUGACCUUGCCUGAUUUUCCG